Zootermopsis nevadensis is the source of this 78-nucleotide non-coding RNA. Lineage: Eukaryota; Metazoa; Arthropoda; Insecta; Blattodea; Termopsidae. The record is from Rfam.
CCGGGGUGAGGUAGUAGGUUGUAUAGUUAUGAACUACAUCAUUUUUGGGAGAACUGUACAACUUGCUAACUUUCCUUG